GAAACCGAGUCUUAAUAGGGCGAUUUAGUAUCAUGUUGUAGACCCGAAACCAUGUGACCUACCCAUGAGCAGGUUGAAGGUGAGGUAAAACUCACUGGAGGACCGAACCAGGGCACGUUGAAAAGUGCUUGGAUGACUUGUGGGUAGCGGAGAAAUUCCAAACGAACUUGGAGAUAGCUGGUUCUCUCCGAAAUAGCUUUAGGGCUAGCGUCGAUGUUAAGUCUCUUGGAGGUAGAGCACUGUUUGGGUGAGGGGUCCAUCUCGGAUUACCAAUCUCAGAUAAACUCCGAAUGCCAACGAGAUAUCAUCGGCAGUCAGACUGCGAGUGCUAAGAUCCGUAGUCGAAAGGGAAACAGCCCAGACCACCAGCUAAGGUCCCAAAAUAACUGUUAAGUGGAAAAGGAUGUGGGGUUGCACAGACAACUAGGAUGUUAGCUUAGAAGCAGCUAUUCAUUCAAAGAGUGCGUAAUAGCUCACUAGUCGAGUGACCCUGCGCCGAAAAUGUACCGGGGCUAAAACAGUUUACCGAAGCUGUGGAUGACACAAAAGUGUCAUGGUAGGAGAGCGUUCUAUGUGUGAAGAAGGUGUACCGUGAGGAGCGCUGGAACGCAUAGAAGUGAGAAUGCCGGUAUGAGUAGCGAAAGACAGGUGAGAAUCCUGUCCACCGUAAGACUAAGGUUUCCAGGGGAAGGCUCGUCCGCCCUGGGUUAGUCGGGACCUAAGGAGAGACCGAAAGGUGUAUCCGAUGGCCAACAGGUUGAUAUUCCUGUACUAGAGUAUAUAGUGAUGGAGGGACGCAGUAGGCUAACUAAACCGGACGAUUGGAAGAGUCCGGCUAAGCAGUGAGGUGUAAGAUGAGUCAAAUGCUUAUCUUUAUAACAUUGAGCUGUGAUGGGGAGCGAAUUUUAGUAGCGAAGUUAGUGAUGUCACACUGCCAAGAAAAGCUUCUAGCGUUUAAUGAUACUCUACCCGUACCGCAAACCGACACAGGUAGUCGAGGCGAGUAGCCUCAGGUGAUCGAGAGAACUCUCGUUAAGGAACUCGGCAAAAUGACCCCGUAACUUCGGGAGAAGGGGUGCUGACUUAGGUCAGCCGCAGUGAAUAGGCCCAAGCAACUGUUUAUCAAAAACACAGCUCUCUGCUAAAUCGUAAGAUGAUGUAUAGGGGGUGACGCCUGCCCGGUGCUGGAAGGUUAAGAGGAGGGUUUAGCGCAAGCGAAGAUCUGAAUUGAAGCCCCAGUAAACGGCGGCCGUAACUAUAACGGUCCUAAGGUAGCGAAAUUCCUUGUCGGGUAAGUUCCGACCCGCACGAAAGGCGUAAUGAUUUGGGCACUGUCUCAACGAGAGACUCGGUGAAAUUUUAGUACCUGUGAAGAUGCAGGUUACCCGCGACAGGACGGAAAGACCCCAUGGAGCUUUACUGCAGUUUGAUAUUGAGUAUCUGUACCACAUGUACAGGAUAGGUAGGAGCCAUUGACUUCGGGACGCCAGUUUCGAAUGAGGCGUUGUUGGGAUACUACCCUUGUGUUAUGGCUACUCUAACCCAGAUAGGUUAUCCCUAUCGGAGACAGUGUCUGACGGGCAGUUUGACUGGGGCGGUCGCCUCCUAAAGAGUAACGGAGGCGCCCAAAGGUUCCCUCAGAUUGGUUGGAAAUCAAUCGCAGAGUGUAAAGGUAUAAGGGAGCUUGACUGCGAGAGCUACAACUCGAGCAGGGACGAAAGUCGGGCUUAGUGAUCCGGUGGUACCGAAUGGAAGGGCCAUCGCUCAACGGAUAAAAGCUACCCUGGGGAUAACAGGCUUAUCUCCCCCAAGAGUUCACAUCGACGGGGAGGUUUGGCACCUCGAUGUCGGCUCGUCGCAUCCUGGGGCUGUAGUCGGUCCCAAGGGUUGGGCUGUUCGCCCAUUAAAGCGGCACGCGAGCUGGGUUCAGAACGUCGUGAGACAGUUCGGUCCCUAUCCGUCGCGGGCGUAGGAAAUUUGAGAGGAUCUGCUCCUAGUACGAGAGGACCAGAGUGGACUUACCGCUGGUGUACCAGUUGUCUUGCCAAAGGCAUCGCUGGGUAGCUAUGUAGGGAAGGGAUAAGCGCUGAAAGCAUCUAAGUGCGAAGCCCCCCUCAAGAUGAGAUUUCCCAUGAUUUUAUAUCAGUAAGAGCCCUGAGAGAUGAUCAGGUAGAUAGGUUAGGAGUGUAAGUGUAGCGAUACAUGUAGCGGACUAAUACUAAUAGCUCGAGGACUUAUCCAA
RNAcentral lists this ribosomal RNA (2242 nucleotides) under Streptococcus pyogenes ABC020047619. RNAcentral's name for it is "bacterial LSU rRNA". It matches the Rfam family "Bacterial large subunit ribosomal RNA", at positions 673 to 2925 of the family's 2925-position model. Lineage: Bacteria; Bacillati; Bacillota; Bacilli; Lactobacillales; Streptococcaceae. The record is from RNAcentral.